Molecule: ribosomal RNA, 267 nt
Filed under: Triticum aestivum (bread wheat)
Lineage: Eukaryota; Viridiplantae; Streptophyta; Magnoliopsida; Poales; Poaceae
Description: partial small subunit ribosomal RNA
Source: RNAcentral
AUGAACAGUAUCUUUUGGAAUUGUAGAGGAGCAGGUACAAAAGGGAGGACUACCUGCUUCUCUGACAUCAUCAGAGAUCACUCCCUAGACUUUAUGGGUAGCCUAGAUACUAAGAAAGAAAACUUUACUCCUAAGUAUCUUAGGAAGAUUGACCCCUUUAAGAAACUUAGUUGGAAUUGGAUUCCUUCUAUAGGUAAAUCGGGUGGAAUUUUAUGUGGGAUCGAUCAAGAAAGAAACCUUAGAAAUAAUUUCAUGGACGGCAGGUAG